UAUGUGGGACUUGACAAUCUGCAAGGUGU
This 29-nucleotide non-coding RNA is filed under the name Bombyx mori (domestic silkworm). The record is from RNAcentral. Lineage: Eukaryota; Metazoa; Arthropoda; Insecta; Lepidoptera; Bombycidae.